RNAcentral lists this long non-coding RNA (516 nucleotides) under Neogale vison (American mink). RNAcentral's name for it is "Neovison vison (American mink) lncRNA (ENSNVIG00000015065.1)". The record is from RNAcentral. Lineage: Eukaryota; Metazoa; Chordata; Mammalia; Carnivora; Mustelidae.
CGCGCGGGAAGUAGCAGCAGGCGGCGUCUCCCGUGGGGAGAGGAAAACUAGGGAGUCGCGGGGCGCGGUGGUGGCCGCCGCUGUGCAGGCGAGUAGCGGGCGCCGGGGCGGGAGCGGCGGCGGGGCAGCGGGGCUUGGGGCCGGCGGGCGCUUUCCUCCCUCUGCGGUGAGAGUCCGCGCAGCCCUCUGCUUUGCUUCACAGUUUCCUUCUGACCACAACUCCUGUUUCUGGGGGAAAAAGCCUCAGAACAGCAGCAGGCGGCCGAGACGUCGUGCGCGAGCCUCAGCCGGACCCGCGGAACCCAUGCUGGCACUUGCGGUUUGGGGUUUUGUGUUUGGCCGGCGUCUUGGCCAGAAGCGGGUUUGGGGAUCCCUCCGGAGCGCUUCUGCAGUGCCCCCUGUCCUGGAUGGAGCACCAGGGCGAUGACUGUCGCCUUAGCCUGGCUUCACAUCCCUGAAACCCAGAGGUCUUGGUGCAGAAAUGAAAAGAAAUGUUGAGAAAGAAGUGAAGCUGUC